CUUGCCAGAGGAACUCUCCAUUGUGGAAACUCAGCACCCUUGGGCUUUGUGUUUGAUGGGGCGAUGUGUGUAUCUGUAUCCGCUUCUGCGAAGCGAAGUCUGCCCAGGCCCCUUUUCCCUGGCAGGAACUCUGCAUAGUGAGGGACUAAAGGCGUUGGCAUCACCAAAGCUCUAUGCAAAUCACUUUGAUUAAACAUCACUUCCUCCUCAGUUUCAGCAGCUUCGGUAAGGAAUGGUGGUGGGAGAGUGCUGCUGCGCUUGCUGCAGGACUCACAGCACAGCUUGUUGUAGCCAGGGAUGGAACAGUAACGUGCAAGCACUUCCAUCUGACAGAAGAUAGAUUUGUCUCCCAUACAGGGCUCAUCAUUACAGGGAGGGAG
This 380-nucleotide long non-coding RNA is filed under the name Gallus gallus (chicken). Lineage: Eukaryota; Metazoa; Chordata; Aves; Galliformes; Phasianidae. The record is from RNAcentral.